GCUUACGGCCAUACCAGCCUGGGUACGCCCGAUCUCGUCUGAUCUCGGAAGCUAAGCAGGGUCGUGCCUGGUUAGUACUUGGAUGGGAGACCGCCUGGCAAUACCAGGUGCUGUAAGCA
Molecule: ribosomal RNA, 119 nt
Filed under: Salmo salar (Atlantic salmon)
Lineage: Eukaryota; Metazoa; Chordata; Actinopteri; Salmoniformes; Salmonidae
Source: RNAcentral